GGGUGCGUAACGCGUAUGCAACCUACCUUCUACAGGGGGAUAGUCAAUAGAAAUGUUGAAUAAUACCCCAUACGAUCUUUGAGUGGCAUUACUUAAAGAGGAAAGCUUCGGCGGUAGAAGAUGGGCAUGCGUCCUAUUAGUUAGUUGGUAAGGUAACGGCUUACCAAGACAGCGAUAGGUAGGGGUCCUGAGAGGGAGAUCCCCCACACUGGUACUGAGACACGGACCAGACUCCUACGGGAGGCAGCAGUGAGGAAUAUUGGACAAUGGAGGAGACUCUGAUCCAGCCAUGCCGCGUGUAGGAAGAAUGCCCUAUGGGUUGUAAACUACUUUUAUACAGGAAGAAACACUGGUAUGUAUACCAGCUUGACGGUACUGU
This 379-nucleotide ribosomal RNA is filed under the name uncultured Polaribacter sp. RNAcentral's name for it is "bacterial SSU rRNA". It matches the Rfam family "Bacterial small subunit ribosomal RNA", at positions 104 to 481 of the family's 1533-position model. The record is from RNAcentral. Lineage: Bacteria; Pseudomonadati; Bacteroidota; Flavobacteriia; Flavobacteriales; Flavobacteriaceae.